RNAcentral lists this microRNA precursor (97 nucleotides) under Pteropus vampyrus (large flying fox). RNAcentral describes it as "miRNA (ENSPVAG00000026644.1)". Lineage: Eukaryota; Metazoa; Chordata; Mammalia; Chiroptera; Pteropodidae. The record is from RNAcentral.
UGUGUUUGUGUGUAUGUGUGCAUGUGUAUGUGUGUGUGUGUGUCUGAGAGAGAGAGAGACAGACAGACAGACAGACAGACAGACAGAGACAGAGAGA